AGCCAACUAGUUUAGGAGUCAUUAGCCCAAAGCUCACUACAAGGAUCAGAUAGAAAGCUUAAGAGGUUAGGACAUUGCAUUGACUGUAUGUAUUUUAUUUAUAAAAUUAAAAUAAAGAGACCUAAUUGCAAGAAGAUAAAACAUCAGCUCACAUUAAAGCUAGAGGAUUUAAAGAGUAAAGUAGGGAGUCGAUCAAGAAAAAAUUCUAGAAUUUUAUAUUCUCCACUUAACCACUAUUUGGGAUGGAAUUAAUAAUUCAAUGAUGCAUCUCUUAAUUCUCUGACC
This 285-nucleotide long non-coding RNA is filed under the name Elaeis guineensis (African oil palm). Its description in RNAcentral is "long non-coding RNA (EGUI_LNC039777)". The record is from RNAcentral. Lineage: Eukaryota; Viridiplantae; Streptophyta; Magnoliopsida; Arecales; Arecaceae.